Molecule: long non-coding RNA, 4474 nt
Filed under: Homo sapiens (human)
Lineage: Eukaryota; Metazoa; Chordata; Mammalia; Primates; Hominidae
Description: HSALNT0181276
Source: RNAcentral
CCGGUGCUCAGGCCUGAGGAAUGACCCCAAAGGAGCCCUGCAUUAGAGCACACUGGGUUCAUAGUUUACCCUCCUCACUGCACCCCAGGAAGACAAGUGAAGCCUGGGUGACUCCAGAGACAUGGAGGCCUCCCCAGGCCAUGGGCAAGGUGAAAGGUCUGGGAAUACUCACCAUCUAGGAGCUCAGGCCUGCUUGGACCAGACUUCAGGAAAACCUGAAGUGAGUGCAGACUCACUCAGAGGUGCACACACACACAGGCACACUCACACGCAGGAUAAAUGCCCAUGCAGACAGGCAUGCACUCUCACAUUCUAGCACCUGGCACCCUGGUUCUGGCUGGACUCACUGUGAAAGACUCAGCCUGUGUCUUACUUCCCUGGUGCCCAUCUGCAAUCCCCCCAGGGUCUUUGGCUAUUGAUGGUUUCACAGAGAGACCUGGACUCAGCUCUCUGGGGCCCCUGGGAGAUCAACCCAUGGUUACGAUUGACACUAGUUGCCUGGGAUGGACCAAUUGACCUCUUGGUGGUUCCCAUCAGUGUCUGGGAGACAGUGGUCAUGAUGCAGGAAGCAAGGACCCAUGUGGAGCUCUGCCAUUAAGUCGAUGUGGGAACAAUCACCCUCGACUGAAAUAUGGGCACUUCUAAUUCAUCUUUCCUCCAGAACAACCUGCUUCCAUAACUGGCAGCCCUGCCCCACCAGUAGACUAUGUCUAAAGCUUCCUGUGCUCUCAGGGCCAACUGAAGCCACCCAGGACUGCAGACUGAAGAUGGGAACUGUAGCCAGCACUACCUGGGGCUCACCCCACCAGCCACCCCACUCCCAACCCAGCUCGCUAGGCUUUGCCAAGCACCAGGCCAGGCUCAGCAGCUUGCGAGCCAUGUAACAUGCCAGAUAGAUAGUGGAGGGAACAUGUAACUGAGUAACCAGCACCAGAGCUGGGCCACACAUUUUUUGUUUUUCAUGCAGCCUGUAUUUGCGGGAGGGUGGUGGUAUUGAUGGCUCUGUGUGCCCCAGGGGUCUCUGUCCAGGCACUCUAGUGCUUCUCUGGUGGCUGUCCCUCUCCACUGGUCCAUAUUUCAAACUUCAGUUUGGGGAAUGGGCCAUCAGCCUAGCAUGCCAGAGAGGAUCCCUCACAAAUGACUCCUGAGACCCCUGGGUGCAGCUCGUACAUGUUUUUAGUCCCUUUGGGACCUUGGCUUGCCUCCCAGCCCUUCCUCCUCAGGCUCUCUGGCUGGUCCCUGCUGACCUCGCACUGAAGAUCCUAGCGCAUUCCCCCAGGAAGGCUUGAGAUGGCGAAGAACUCUGCUUGGAGAACCCAGCUCUGGACACCUGUCUCUGGGCUUUGGCAGCAGGAAGCUGGCCACUGGCCUUAGCCGUCAGCUAGAAUGGGUCAUUUUCUUAGCAGCCAUGAAUGCAGAGGUAUUUCUGGUUAGUCUCAUAAGAACAAAACCAUCCACUUCCCCAGAGUCCUCACACAUUCCACCCAAAAAGCAAAGGAGACACAGGCCUUCUUGGUCUUCAGGAUCCCAUAGCUGUUUCCCUGAACAGGGAAGAAACUUUAGCCUUGGGUUUUCUCUCCAUUCCAUGACACAGGGCUCCAGGCCACUGCAGCUUCCGGACAUCAGUACCCGAUAGGUGUAAAGUGCCUACUCCCUGAAGAAAGAUCUGAAAGUAUUUUUUUGAUGACAGUGGGGAAUAUGUCUGGAUUUUUGGACUCAAUGGCACUAAUUAUAUCUUCUGAGGUUUAUGUGUAAAUAUGAUUUUGUGAAACUAAUCAUAUCUCUAAAGAGGAAAAAUAAACUCCUGCAAAGCUGCUCUAUGUGCUUGAGAGGACAGCAGCUGGGACAACUGCUCUGUGCUCAUCAGACCCAGCUGGAGGGCGGCACUGGCACUGCGCACAUCCAGGGGAGGGCCAGGCAGGGAAAAGGCUUCUGAACUGUGGCAUAAACAAGUAGGGCAGCGGCCUCCCCUUUCAUUUGAAUAUAAAAUUCAAAGUCUUUCUCCCGGCCUAAAAGGCCCACCAUCUGCUGCAGACUCUGCCCACUCCUCUGUUGGGCCUCAUGGCGUGAACCGGCAGCCUCCCUUCUGCCUGCUGAACACAUCCAGCUCAACCCGCUUUAGGGCCUUGAUGAUUCUGUGCCUGGAACACUCCCUCCAGGGUGGCUCUCUGUUGUCCUGCAGGCCUCAGUCCCAGUGUCACCUUCUCAGAGAAGCCUUAUCUGAUCUCUUAUCUAGUGUGGCACCUCCAGCCAAUACCUACCAUGCUGCUAGCCUGUUUUAUUCUCUUCUAACUACUAUCUGCCACUUUCUGUUCAUUUACAUGCUUAUGAUCUAGCCAUCCCCCCUAGGACAUCCCAGCAGGUACCCUGCCUGUCUCUCUUGUAUCUCCCCAGCAUCUAGGACAAUCCUGAUUCACAGAAAAUGUUCAAAGAAUACUUGUUGCACAAAUGGAUGAGUGUUUAGUCUGGAGACGAGAAUACUAUUUCCAAAUAUUUAAAGGUGUUAUAACCAGAAGGAAGAAGUAGUCUUACUGUAUAUGGCACCAAUGUGUGGAAAUUAUGGUGGUGGCAGAUUUUAGCUCCAUCUGAGAAAGGACUAAUAAACAGGGCGAAUCCAACAUAGUGUGGGCUGCUCUGAGAGGUGAGUUCCUUGAUGCUGAAGGCACUCGAGCAGAGGCCAGAAGACCCCUUGGCAGGGACGCUGUAAGGCUGUGGAUGAGGCUCCCACACUGGGCAGGAGCAUGGGUGGAGAGUGUCUCUUCAACCACAAGAGCCUGUCAUUCCAAGUCAUACAUUCUACACUGCCUGGCACACGGUACAGGUUCCCUAAUGCCAGUCUCCAGAGUGUGGACUGAGAAAGACUUUUUCCUGGAAGACCAAAAUGCUCGGUAGGUCCCAUAUUUAAUCACUGAUCCUUGUGAUUUUAUUUUUGCAUGACAAAUACCUUUAAACUCAAUAUAUCUCCACCUGUAGCAAAUUCCUAGGGUGUUUGUUAACAAUUCAGAAUCUGGGGCUCCCCACUUUUAUGGGAUCUGAAUCACUGGGUAUGAGGCUCAGGAAACAGGAGUUGAACAAGCAGCCCAGGUGAUUCUUAUGAGGACCACGCUCCUAGGUCUUCCCUCCCCUGCAUUACAAAGAGGAGCACGUGAUCCCAUGAUUUGCCACCCCAGGGUGCACUGUGCUGUCUCACCCAGUGACCCUGAAAACAAACUUGACCUAAGGUAUUGAGUGGAUCAAGAGAAAACAAAGAGUAUGCCCCAAAGGAAAAGCGACCAUACUGUAUGCCAACACUGAGUCUAAACUCCUCAAGCAGGUGAGAUGCUCUUUAAGCUAGGAAGAGAAUGUUUGUGGCUUUUACAAAAAAGAGGCUGUGAAGAAGGGACAGGCUGUGAAAUGGGCAGCAGGGUAUUGAAGGCGAAAGCCAACACCCAUUCCCUCUCAGUGGCUAUCACAGAAUUGUUUAGUCCAAGAUAACUAGAAGAACAAAGGCCAUCUCCUGCCUCUUGUGUAAUAUUUCAUAAAAGGAAAAAUAUAAACCUCCAUGGGUCUGUCUUUGCUAUGGUCUUCCCUCAGCCCUCCCUUGACUAACUCACCUGUGCACCUUGGAUGCAAAGAAGGCUUCUGGGGAAGAGUUUCCCCAUAACCUCGAGGUCAGAGCUGCCCAGGACAGGGAGAUUAUGAAGGUGGAGCUGUCCAUCUUCUGUGAUUCCUGGCUUGGGAGGGGUUGGCACUAAAGAGGGAACUGGCUUGCUCCAAGAAUGAGACCCACAGAUGCCUAUUUUUGUAUGCCUUAAUAUAGGAACAUGGGUCUCACAUUUUAUAAAUAUCCAGAUGGGCCUGAGUCCUUGUGCCAUGAGACCCUGGUGCAGCAGAAAUGCCCUUUUCACCCCCAAGACUCCCAGAAGAUGGUCAGACUCUUGGAACUGUUGAGCUGGGGUUCUGGUUCACUCAUAAGCCCUUUACAUGUCUGCUUGCUCCUUCGAAUCAGCUAAACAGAUGGCUGGUCUCAGGGGCUUGCAGGAUGCGUCUGAGUUAAGUGUGAUUAUGAAUAGAAUACAGUUUGCAAAGAGAAUCUUCUCUCAGAUUCCCUCUCCACAAGCUCACUCUGUGCAGCCUCUGUUAGGGAUAGUAUAAAGGCUGCUGUGUCAUCAGGUGACCUUGCCACAGAGUUGUGCAUCUGUUGGCUCAGAGUGUGGCCCCAUCCCCAUAGUGACCACCUCCCCAGUUCUGCAAAGGCAUUUUCCCCUCCCACUGCCUGCUGGGGACUCCAAGGCAGCAAUGCCUCUUAACAGCUCUUAGGAUGCCUGGGAAAAAGAGAUUGCUCCCCGUUAGGAAGAAAAAGUAUUUCAUUCACCAGGCUACUAUUUCUCUAGGUAAUAGUCUAUCCAGGUACAUGAGAGGCGGAGGGAAAGGGUCUUUGCUGCUUUGUCAGACACAACUAUUGAAUAAAAUCAAGCCACGCUGGUGAGUUCAC